AUACGUAGGUGGCAAGCGUUGUCCGGAAUUACUGGGUGUAAAGGGCGUGUAGACGGGAUUGCAAGUCAGAUGUGAAAGCCCCAGGCUUAACCUGGGAACUGCAUCUGAAACUGUGAUUCUUGAGUGUCGGAGAGGAAAGCGGAAUUCCUAGUGUAGCGGUGAAAUGCGUAGAUAUUAGGAGGAACACCAGUGGCGAAGGCGGCUUUCUGGACGAUAACUGACGUUGAGGCGCGAAAGCGUGGGGAGCAAACAGGAUUAGAUACCCUGGUAGUCCACGCCGUAAACGAUGGAUACUAGGUGUAGGGGGUAUCGACCCCCCCUGUGCCGGAGUAAACACAAUAAGUAUCCCACCUGGGGAGUACGGCCGCAAGGUUGAA
RNAcentral lists this ribosomal RNA (377 nucleotides) under uncultured bacterium. Its description in RNAcentral is "bacterial SSU rRNA". It matches the Rfam family "Bacterial small subunit ribosomal RNA", at positions 523 to 898 of the family's 1533-position model. The record is from RNAcentral.